UUCGUACGUGACCUGCGGAGGAUCAUUA
Molecule: ribosomal RNA, 28 nt
Filed under: Russula aff. chloroides FH12273
Lineage: Eukaryota; Fungi; Basidiomycota; Agaricomycetes; Russulales; Russulaceae
Description: partial 18S small subunit ribosomal RNA
Source: RNAcentral